Molecule: ribosomal RNA, 253 nt
Filed under: uncultured bacterium
Lineage: Bacteria
Description: partial 16S ribosomal RNA
Rfam family: Bacterial small subunit ribosomal RNA
Source: RNAcentral
UACGUAGGGGGCAAGCGUUGUCCGGAUUUAUUGGGCGUAAAGAGCGUGUAGGCGGCUUUACAGGUCCGUUGUGAAAACUCGAGGCUCAACCUCGAGACGCCGGUGGAAACCGUAAAGCUAGAGUCCGGAAGAGGAGAGUGGAAUUCCUGGUGUAGCGGUGAAAUGCGCAGAUAUCAGGAAGAACACCCGUGGCUAAGGCGGUUCUCUAGUACGGUACUGACGCUGAGACGCGAAAGCGUGGGGAGCGAACAGG